Oncorhynchus tshawytscha (Chinook salmon) is the source of this 1196-nucleotide long non-coding RNA. The record is from Ensembl. NCBI's taxonomy places the organism in Eukaryota, Metazoa, Chordata, Actinopteri, Salmoniformes, Salmonidae.
CGCUUUUUCAUCAUGGUAGUCACUUGCGUUCCAUUGCUCACGAAGACAAGAAGGAAUACUCCGGUUGGAACUUUAUUAAAGCUAUAUGUUAAAAACAUCCUAAUGAUUGAUUCUGUACUUAGUUUGAAAUGUUUCUUCGACCGGUAAUAUCACUUUUUGAAGUUUUUGUCCGAUAUAACGCUGACCAGAAUUAGCGUUUGGAUAUGUAUACUGACAUUUUACUGAUAUGUACGCUGACAUUUUUGAACAAAACAAACAUUUAUUGUGGACCUGGGAUUCCUGGAGUGCUUUCUGAUGUAGAUCAUCAAAGCUAUGUGGUUUGUAGGUGUUCUGGGUGCGAGUGGUGCGGGGCCACUUUGGCUCUGUGUUGGCCAAGCUGCGGACACUGAUCAGCCGCAGGAGGCAGAGGAGCCAGCAACAGCAACUCUGUACAGACCCAGAGAGCUACGAUGUAUAACACCGUGGUGGAGCGCAGAGAGCCCCGCUGAUGAUAUAGAGCCAGCUUCCGAGCAACGCUGAGGCGGAGCAGUUCUGUAAAGACACGCGGCGCUGUGUGGUGACUGGGUCAGAGUGUGUCACAGGGGGACUCAGGUUAUGGAAGAGGGGACUGGAGCUCUGAUUCGUGGACCUCAUUGAAAUUAUUUUUUUGUUUGAUAUUUUCACUCUAUAUAGAUUCCUUGAGGUUUCCAUGCAAAAAGGACUAGAGGUUGGGAUUGGUCUCGGAUGGAGACUGUACAAGUCAUUUUUGACAAAUAUGAUGACUGCUGAAUGUUUGAUAAAUGAAUGUUAUGUUAACAAACUAGGCUGCUGCUUUUGGAUGGAAAUUUGAUGCUGCUACCCAGCAACCAUGUUUGUUUGUGUUUCAUCUUUCAAUCAGUACAGUGGCUGUGUUGGAAGAGGGUCAGUUGUUUUGCAGCAAAGGAUGUUGUGGCAAUGAUUGGAGAUGUUAAAAUGCAUUUUUAGCUGCUGUUGCUAUGUUGCACAUGUGCGACAGUCUUAUGCCCUAUACAUUAUUGCACGAGCAGUACUACCAUUUGGUGGAAGGAUUCAGGGGGUGCAUGUUUCUGAAAAUAAAAGGAUAAAACCCUGUACCUCUCAGCUGUGUCCUCAUAACAACUUUAUUCCUCAUUUAUUUUGUAAAUGUAUAUUUAAAAUGUACAUGCAUGUCUACAAUAUCACAAUAUUUUAAACAUUCU